RNAcentral lists this ribosomal RNA (773 nucleotides) under uncultured Neocallimastigales. RNAcentral's name for it is "partial large subunit ribosomal RNA". It matches the Rfam family "Eukaryotic large subunit ribosomal RNA", at positions 24 to 616 of the family's 3401-position model. Lineage: Eukaryota; Fungi; Neocallimastigomycota; Neocallimastigomycetes; Neocallimastigales. The record is from RNAcentral.
ACGACUACAUAUCAGGCAUAUCAAUAAGCGGAGGAAAAGAAACUAACAAGGAUUCCCUCAGUAACGGCGAGUGAAGCGGGAAGAGCUCAAAUUUGAAAUCUUCAAGGUUCUACCUUGACGAAUUGUAGUUUAAAGAAGUGUUUUCUGUUGAAGUUUUGGUAAAAGUUCUUUGGAAUAGGACAUCAUAGAGGGUGAGAAUCCCGUAUUUGACCAUUAUUUUCAGCUGUGUGAUACACUUUCAAAGAGUCGGAUUGUUUGGGAAUGCAGUCCAAAAUGGGUGGUAAAUUUCAUCUAAAGCUAAAUAUUGGCGAGAGACCGAUAGCGAACAAGUACCGUGAGGGAAAGAUGAAAAGAACUUUGAAAAGAGAGUUAAACAGUACGUGAAAUUGUCAAAAGGGAAGCGUUUGACACCAGUGUUGUUUUCUCGAAAAUCAAUUAAAAAGAGUUGGAUUUUGUGUUGUAUUGACCUUAACAGCUUGCUUCACUCUUUUCCAGCUUUUUUUAAUGCACUUUUCGUUUAACAAGUCAACAUCAGUUUCUUUUGUUGUAAAAGGGUCAUUGGAAGGUGGCUUUCUCUUCGGAGAAAGUGUUUAUAGCCUUUGAUCUCUGCAAUCGGAGAGACUGAGGUCUGCAGCGUAGAUCCUUCGGGGUUAGAUACAUUUGUGCUAAGCUACAGCUUUUCAUAGACAACUUGUUGACUAUGUUUAGUCUUGUGACUUACCCGCUUAUGCUAUUUUACCUACGCUUAGGAUGUUGAGCGCAUGUCUCUCUCU